AACGAACGCUGGCGGCAGGCCUAACACAUGCAAGUCGAACGCCGUAGCAAUACGGAGUGGCAGACGGGUGAGUAACGCGUGGGAACCUACCUUACGGUCGGGAAUAGCUCAGGGAAACUUGGGGUAAUACCGGAUACGCCCUUACGGGGAAAGAUUUAUCGCCGUUAGAUGGGCCCGCGUCGGAUUAGCUAGUUGGUGAGGUAACGGCUCACCAAGGCGACGAUCCGUAGCUGGUCUGAGAGGAUGAUCAGCCACACUGGGACUGAGACACGGCCCAGACUCCUACGGGAGGCAGCAGUGGGGAAUAUUGGACAAUGGGCGCAAGCCUGAUCCAGCCAUGCCGCGUGAGUGACGAAGGCCUUAGGGUUGUAAAGCUCUUUUGGCGGGGAAGAUAAUGACGGUACCGCAGAAUAAGCUCCGGCUAACUUCGUG
This 432-nucleotide ribosomal RNA is filed under the name uncultured bacterium. RNAcentral's name for it is "bacterial SSU rRNA". It matches the Rfam family "Bacterial small subunit ribosomal RNA", at positions 29 to 507 of the family's 1533-position model. The record is from RNAcentral.